This 406-nucleotide ribosomal RNA is filed under the name uncultured bacterium. RNAcentral's name for it is "partial 16S ribosomal RNA". It matches the Rfam family "Bacterial small subunit ribosomal RNA", at positions 30 to 526 of the family's 1533-position model. The record is from RNAcentral.
AUUGAACGCUGGCGGCAGGCCUAACACAUGCAAGUCGAACGAGUGGCGGAAGGGUGAGUGAUGUCUGGGAAACUGACUGAUGGAUGAGGAUAACUACUGGAACACGUAGCUAAUAACGCAUACCAUCGGAUGUGCCAAGAUGGGAUUAGCUAGUCGGUGGGGUAAAGGCUCACUUAGGCGACGAUCCCUAGCUGGUCUGAGAGGAUGACCAGCCACACUGGAACUGAGACACGGUCCAAACUCCUACGGGAGGCAGCAGUGGGGAAUAUUGCACAAUGGGCGCAAGCCUGAUGCAGCCAUGCCGCGUGUAUGAAGAAGGCCUUCGGGUUGUAAAGUACUGUCAGCGGGGAGGCGUUACCCGCAGAAGAAGCACCGGCUAACUCCGUGCCAGCAGCCGCGGUAAUAC